Molecule: ribosomal RNA, 277 nt
Filed under: uncultured bacterium
Lineage: Bacteria
Description: partial 16S ribosomal RNA
Rfam family: Bacterial small subunit ribosomal RNA
Source: RNAcentral
AAUCAACGCUGGCGGCGCGCUUAACACAUGCAAGUCGCACGAGAAAGUGGAGCAAUCCAUGAGUACAGUGGCGUACGGGUGAGUAACACGUGGAUCAUCUGCCUCUUGGUGGGGAAUAACCCUGGGAAACCGGGGCUAAUACCGCAUAAGCCUGCAAAGGGAAAGCAGCAAUGCGCCGAGAGAGGAGUCCGCGGCCGAUUAGCUUGUUGGUAGGGUAAUGGCCUACCAAGGCAAUGAUCGGUAGCCGGCCUGAGAGGGCACACGGCCACACUGGCAC